GAUACUCGACGCUUUGAAGAAAUGACUACAUGACGUCGGCAACACCAAAGGUGGCAGAUGGCUCAAAGAAUUACCCAAUGCCUUGUGGGGCCUACGUACCCAACCAUGCAAGACUACGGGACUAUCACCCUAUUUUCUGGUAUAUUGUUCCGAAGCCAUACUACCCGCCGACAUCAUGUGGCAAUCACCAUCCGUUGAACAAUACGACAAAGAACUUGCAAUAGAAAC
Molecule: long non-coding RNA, 228 nt
Filed under: Setaria italica (foxtail millet)
Lineage: Eukaryota; Viridiplantae; Streptophyta; Magnoliopsida; Poales; Poaceae
Description: long non-coding RNA (SITA_LNC003674)
Source: RNAcentral